AUUGAACGCUGGCGGCAUGCCUUACACAUGCAAGUCGAACGGUAACGGGCCUUCGGGUGCCGACGGGUGGCGAACGGGUGAGUAAUACAUCGGAACGUGCCCGAUCGUGGGGGAUAACGAGGCGAAAGCUUUGCUAAUACCGCAUACGAUCUACGGAUGAAAGCAGGGGACCGCAAGGCCUUGCGCGGACGGAGCGGCCGAUGGCAGAUUAGGUAGUUGGUGGGAUAAAAGCUUACCAAGCCGACGAUCUGUAGCUGGUCUGAGAGGAUGAUCAGCCACAGUGGGACGACACAGCGCCCCGGCCCCUGCGGGGAGGCACCGUGGGGGAAUUUGGACAAUGGGGCGCAGCCUUGACCCAGCCAGGCGGGGGGAAGGAGAAGGUCUUUGGGGUUGUAAAUUUUUUUUGAAGGGAAGAAAAACCCUUUUUUAAAAACGGGAGGGUCAGGAGGUUACCGAAAAAAAAAGCCCCGGCUAACUACGUG
This 482-nucleotide ribosomal RNA is filed under the name uncultured bacterium. RNAcentral's name for it is "partial 16S ribosomal RNA". It matches the Rfam family "Bacterial small subunit ribosomal RNA", at positions 29 to 507 of the family's 1533-position model. The record is from RNAcentral.